Molecule: long non-coding RNA, 1098 nt
Organism: Lolium rigidum
Lineage: Eukaryota; Viridiplantae; Streptophyta; Magnoliopsida; Poales; Poaceae
Exons: 3
Source: RefSeq, a predicted model, not a curated record
UUGGCGAAUAUGGCAGAUGUGGCUUGGUCAAAAUAAGGAAGUAAAGACGGUGACUUCAUGGUUUCUACCUUGAUGCCUUGGCGCAUGAUCCCGUGGGACUCAUUUAAAGGAACAGGUUGAGGAGAGUUGCCACUGCAAUAAGGUAAUUUUCCCCUAACGUAUUCAAGCAUACAUGUGUAGAUUUAAAGAUGUGUCCUAUACAGGUGUCUGUUGAGAUAAAGACAUGGUUCUAUGUAAAUUUUAAUUUCCUCCAAUGAUAUAUUAAUAGAUUAAAUGGUUUGCCCGCCUACUUGGAACAUCUUAGUGUCUAUUUGAGAUGCCAUAUUUUGGAUUUGUAGUUAUUCAAGGCACUAUAUUUUUCCCCAGAUACUAUUGUUUUGUUGAACAUUCCUGCAUCUUUGUAGGAAUGCUAACCCUUAAUUAACAGCAAUGCAUGCUGAUUAGUAAAUACAGUGUGCUUUUGGUCCAUCUUUUUACAAUAGUGUCCCUAUUUUGCAUUCAGAUUUUUAUUGUUUAGCCUAAAAGAUAAGGAGAAACAUUUCUAAAGAGAUCCAUUGCGAAUCUUGAAAUGCACGAGCAGCAGAAAUACUUGCAUUUGUUGAAGCAAGAGCCAUAGGUUACAUUAUUUCACUUACAUGCCAGCAUGUCCACACCAAGACCACGGUAAGUUAAUUUCAAAAAUAUAUUGUUGUGGUAAUUUACUUGCAUUCUGAUUGAGGAUUUUAAGAAAUGCAAGGAUUGUAGUUUUGAUGUUGUCUGACUAUUGUUGCAUAGUGCAGAUUUGCAGCCCUGUUCAGAAGGUAAUUUGCCAAGGUCUGAUGCUCAUGUUCAUUGCCACUGUACUUGCGGUGCGGUGCAGGCUGCUUGUGCUGCUACUGACCUGCUGACUUGCCUGCUCCCUAUUGGCUUUCAUGUUUAGAACGCCUUACCACUGCCGCUAGCUGUCGUCUGCUGCCCACAUUGGGUGCCAUCAAUCAUAUGAGGAUUUUAUUGAUUUCAUGCCACUAUUAUGAAAGUGCUGGAGAUCAAUGAGGCCCAUGAAGAAUGCCAUACUCGAUCUCUCGAGCCUUUCCAUCUCCCAACCCUCCAAUGCUGAAG